GGGAGAGAUAAUCUCCUGCUGAUCUAUAGCGGUUAACAUUAACGUAUUAGCUGAAUGCCAGUGAGAAACAAAAAGGGCUUCUAAUAAAAUCUCAAGUAUUGUUGGAGUUAGCCUAAGCAUGUGAAUUAAGAGACAAAAUGAGGUAUUAUGACCUUCGUAGGGAUACUUCACCAGAAAAGGGAAGAAAGUCUCUGGUGGGAAUCCGUACAACUUCCUAAACACACUGUGCAUACUCACCUACUAAGGGUAAAGAGGGUACUGUACAUGGGUAGCCCACCCUAAUGGAAGAAUUAAAGGAAAUGAGCCAAAGUAUAAAGUUUUAGGAUCACGGUUAAACACCACACAUGACCUUCAUGUGCCCACUGAAGUCUCUUCCACGUAUACUUUCUUUCAUGUUCUCAACACUUUAAAUUUUCACUCCUGCUCUGAAAGUUGCCUUGGUCUCGUUUUCUGCCUUCUGUCCCUCACUGGAGUUCUUUCUUCUGAGGAGUUGUACUACAGAUAGCAUGAGGGAGCAGCCCAUCAAACCUAUCCUGCAGCUGCUUAUUACGCUGUAUUACUACAAGAUGUGUGGGACAGGACUCAAUCUGGGAAGGCAUCCUGAGGUCACUGUUGCACUUCCUCUUUACCAUAGAACAUAUCCUGGUAAGAUGAUUAUUAGAGAUGUCCUCUUUGACAUCCUGCUUUCACAUUAAGCAUAUUUAUAAGAGGAUAUGAGUAAUCUGUAAGUAUCAUGAACUACACCUGUCACAAUGAACACUUUUAUUAUUCAGAUUUUAUAUUUUUAUAGCAAGCUAACUUACAUGAUUUCUCACUGUAGCCCUAUUUUUCCUCCCAGUUUUUAAUAACCAGUUUCAAGAUUCUUCAAGUUGCCUUUCUCAUAUAGUCUGACAGACACUUGUCAUUCAUUUUCUUAGGUACUAUAAACGUUUAACCACCUGCCAAUAGCAGUACUCAUCUAACUACCUUGCUAUGACAAACUCAUAUUUGGUAACUCACUACUUUCCUCUACCCUGCCUCCUACCAGUUGUAACUUUCACCUUCUCCACACUCUUGGGAUACCUGGUGUUACAGAUACCUUAGCAUUUUAGUCAGGACUGGUGAUGCCUUUUGGUUCCACCCAUGGCAUAUUAUCACUACCUGUCUAGGAAGUUAAAGAACAACUCACUGCAGCCUUUCCAAAAAAUACAAGAAAUCAUUCCAGUGGAUUUCCAUCCCCAGUUUUCUUACUCAACACUAAAAGAUCUUUUCUUGAUGUAGUUCUUAAAGUCCACCAACCCUCCCUUUUUAUUUCCUGCCUUUUGUUCUUGACUGAUUCCUCUCUCCUUUGUUUUAACAGCCAACUAUUUUAAGUCUAUUUGAAAUAAGGUAAAGGCAAACACAUAUUCUGAUAACUUUGCCUAGACCGGUUUCCUUGCCUGGCAAUAUGGAACGCACCAGGUGACAGUUUUAUCUCCUGCUGUUUUGGGAUACAGAAGCAGUUGGCUUUUCCAAUAUUAGGAUGAGUCAAUUCCUGGUCUCCACAAGUACCUAAGUCUGAGUAGUUGAGUAGUGAGUUUUUAUCUUACUUUAUAGUUAUGUAUGUAUCUAUGUAUGUAUGUAUGUAUGUAUGUAUGUACGUAUGCAUUUGAGAUGGAGUCUUGAUCUGUCACCCAGGGUAGAGUGCAGUGGCACAAUCAUGGCUCACUGUAGCUUUGGCCUCUUGGCCUCAAG
RNAcentral lists this long non-coding RNA (1713 nucleotides) under Callithrix jacchus (white-tufted-ear marmoset). RNAcentral describes it as "lncRNA (ENSCJAG00000070654.1)". The record is from RNAcentral. Lineage: Eukaryota; Metazoa; Chordata; Mammalia; Primates; Cebidae.